GAUGAAGAACGCAGCGAAAUGCGAUACGUAGUGUGAAUUGCAGAAUUCAGUGAAUCAUCGAAUCUUUGAACGCACAUUGCACCUCUCGGUAUUCCGGGAGGUAUGCCUGUUCGAGCGUCAUUUGUACCCUCAAGCUCUGCUUGGUGUUGGGGCCUGCUGCACUGGCAGCCCUUAAAAUCAGUGGCGGCGCCAUCUGGCUCUAAGCGUAGUAAUUCUUCUCGCUAUGGAGUCCUGGUGGAUGCUUGCCAUCAACCCCCAAUUUUUCUAUGGUUGACCUCGGAUCAGGUAGGGAUACCCGCUGAACUUAAGCAUAUCAAUAAGCGGAGGA
This 328-nucleotide unclassified non-coding RNA is filed under the name soil metagenome. Its description in RNAcentral is "partial contains 5.8S ribosomal RNA, internal transcribed spacer 2, and large subunit ribosomal RNA". The stretch from base 1 to 120 matches the Rfam family "5.8S ribosomal RNA", at positions 35 to 154 of the family's 154-position model. The record is from RNAcentral.